AUGUGCAAUCUUCUCCCUACUUUAUGCUUUAGGCUUUUAGCCUUGUUGUACCUCCAUGGUGCAAACAAGUUGCAAGAUAGGGCCAUGUUCACCCUCACAACAUCCAAAAACAUGGACCACCUAUUUUCAUGCCAUUCACAUGUUCAGAGUUUUGUCAAAAGGACAAAGACAACAACAAAUCAGAAAAGAAAAAUCCAUUGCCCUUUAGUUAUGAACUUUCCUGCAUCAACCAUAAAAUGGUCUUUUUUUUCUUCUUUCUGUCCCUACUCGUUUCACUGUCGAAGGUUUCAAAUACUUGGUCCAAAAUGA
This is a non-coding RNA of Vicia faba (fava bean), 309 nucleotides long. NCBI's taxonomy places the organism in Eukaryota, Viridiplantae, Streptophyta, Magnoliopsida, Fabales, Fabaceae. The record is from the annotation of a GenBank genome assembly.